CUACGGGACGCUGCAGUGAGGAAUAUUGCACAAUGGAGGAAACUCUGAUGCAGCAACGCCGCGUGGAGGAUGACGCAUUUCGGUGUGUAAACUCCUUUUAUAUGUCAAGAAAAUGACGGUAGCAUAUGAAUAAGCACCGGCUAACUCCGUGCCAGCAGCCGCGGUAAUACGGAGGGUGCAAGCGUUACUCGGAAUCACUGGGCGUAAAGGACGCGUAGGCGGGAUAUCAAGUCAGGUGUGAAAUCCUACAGCUUAACUGUAGAACUGCACUUGAAACUGGUAACCUAGAGUAUGGGAGGGGGAGAUGGAAUUAGUGGUGUAGGGGUAAAAUCCGUAGAUAUCACUAGGAAUACCUAAAGCGAAGGCGAUCUCCUGGAACAUUACUGACGCUAAGGCGUGAAAGCGUGGGGAGCAAACAGGAUUAGAUACCCUCGUAGUC
RNAcentral lists this ribosomal RNA (439 nucleotides) under uncultured bacterium. Its description in RNAcentral is "partial 16S ribosomal RNA". It matches the Rfam family "Bacterial small subunit ribosomal RNA", at positions 339 to 795 of the family's 1533-position model. The record is from RNAcentral.